CUACGGAGGGUGCAAGCGUUGUCCGGAUUUAUUGGGUUUAAAGGGUGCGUAGGUGGUUUUUUAAGUCAGUGGUGAAAGCCUACAGCUUAACUGUAGAGGUGCCAUUGAAACUGGGAAACUUGAGUAUGGACGAGGUAGGCGGAAUUUGUGGUGUAGCGGUGAAAUGCAUAGAUACCACAAAGAACACCGAUAGCGAAGGCAGCUUACUAGGCCAUAUCUGACACUGAGGCACGAAAGUGUGGGGAGCGAACAGGAUUAGAAACCCCAGUAGUCC
RNAcentral lists this ribosomal RNA (274 nucleotides) under uncultured bacterium. RNAcentral describes it as "partial 16S ribosomal RNA". It matches the Rfam family "Bacterial small subunit ribosomal RNA", at positions 523 to 796 of the family's 1533-position model. The record is from RNAcentral.